Medicago truncatula (barrel medic) is the source of this 7296-nucleotide RNA transcript. It is a transcript of the gene named disease resistance protein RPV1, with no coding region annotated. The transcript is spliced from 12 exons. The record is from RefSeq and is a predicted model, not a curated record. NCBI's taxonomy places the organism in Eukaryota, Viridiplantae, Streptophyta, Magnoliopsida, Fabales, Fabaceae.
GGAAAUUGCCCGGAAAUUGCCUCAACUGGUGACAAGGCAGUCCCACUUUCAUGACUUUAUAGAUACUCCAAAGUCCUUUAAGUUCAGUACACUCUGCAUAAUUCACAUUCAUCCUAGCUCAAUUUUCUAUAAACAACUGUUCUUUCCUUUGAAUCUGAAUACUAAUAUUCAUCAAACCAACUCAUUCACUCAUCAUGGCUCCCCUCACAGUCACAAAUCGAUUCAAGUAUGAUGUUUUUCUCAGCUUUCGAGGUGAGGAUACUCGUUAUGGUUUCACAAGCUAUCUCAAGAAAGCUCUAGAUGACAAAGGAGUUAGAACUUUCAUGGACGAUGAGGAGCUUCAAAAAGGCGAAGAAAUCACACCAUCACUUCUCAAAGCAAUUGAAGACUCCCAAAUCGCCAUCGUCGUCCUUUCUAAGAAUUAUGCUUCUUCCUCCUUUUGCUUACAAGAACUUUCUCAUAUCCUUCAUUCCAUCAAAGAUAAAGGACGUUCCGUUUUGCCGGUAUUUUAUAAGGUGGAUCCCUCUGUUAUACGGAAGUUAGAAAAGAGUUAUGGAGAAGCAAUGGAUAAACAUAAGGCCAACUCAAAUCUUGAUAAAUGGAAGGUGUGUCUUCACCAAGUAGCUGAUUUGUCUGGAUUUCAUUACAAGAAGAAACGGGAUAUGCCUGAGCAUAAGUUUAUUGGGGAGAUUGUUGAAAAAGUUUUAGGAAAUAUAGAACCUGUUGCAUUGCCUGUUGGUGAUUACAAAGUUGGAUUGGAGCACCAAAAGCAACAUGUGAUUUCCCUUUUGAAUGUUGGGUCGGAUGAUAAAGCAUGUAUGGUAGGGAUCUACGGGAUUGGUGGAAUAGGGAAAACAACUCUUGCUAUUUCUGUUUAUAAUUUGAUUGCCAAUGAAUUUGAGGUUUCAUGUUUUGUUGAAAAUGUUAGAGAAAGUCAUGAAAAACAUGGGUUACCAUAUCUCCAAAAGAUCAUUCUUUCUAAAGUAGUUGGGGAGAAAAAGGAGUUAACAAGUGUUCUAAAUGGGAUUUCAAAAUUGGAACAGAUGCUCAAGCAAAAGAAGAUACUUUUGAUUCUUGACGAUGUUAAUGAGUUAGAGCAAUUAGAAGCUCUGGCUGGAAAACACGAAUGGUUUAAUCGCUCAAGUCGAAUCAUCAUCACAACUCGGGACAAAAGGUUGCUAACAUGUCAUGGGAUUGAAUGUAAAUAUGAGGUGAAGGGGUUGAAUGACAUAGAUGCUGCUGAGUUGGUUAGAAGGAAAGCUUUUAAAGAUGAAUUUAGUCCAAGCUACAAAAAUGUUUCAACAGAAAAAAUGCAUGUUUUAGAACGUGUUGUAACAUAUGCCUCUGGUCAUCCACUCGCUUUGGAAGUCAUGGGUUCUCACUUUUCUAAUAAGACAAUAGAACAAUGUAAAGAUGCACUAGAUCGUUACGAAAAAAUUCCUCAUAAAAAGAUCCAAAUGACACUACAAGUGAGCUUUGAUGCUCUGGAGGACGAAGAGAAGUUUGUUUUUCUUGACAUUGCUUGUUGCUUCAAAGGAUGGAAAUUAACAAGGGUCGAAGAAAUACUUCAUGUUCAUCAUGGUGAUAACAUGAAAGAUCACAUUAAUGUGUUAGUGGAAAAAUCUCUCAUAAAAAUAGAUGGGUUUGGUUAUGUAGCAUUACAUGAUUUGCUAGAAGAUAUGGGAAAAGAAAUUGUUAGACAAGAGUCACCAAAUAAUCCGGGAGAACGCAGUAGGUUAUGGGACCCUAAAGAUAUACAAAAAGUUUUAGAAGAAAAUAAGGGAACAAGUAAAAUUGAAAUCAUACAUUUGGACAGUUGGGUUAAAGUGGAAUGGGAUGGAGAAGCUUUCAAGAAGAUGGAGAAUCUUAAAACACUAAUUUUUGGUAAUAAAGUUUAUUUAUGUGAAAAUCCCAAACAUCUUCCAAAUAGUCUAAGAGUGCUGGAAUGUAGCAAGCUCAAUCCAUUGGAGUGGGAGGGCUUUCUCACAAAGAAAUUCCAGAAUAUGAGAGUUUUAAAUCUCAAUAGAAGUCAAGAUUUAGCACAAAUACCUGAUAUAUCUGGUCUCCUAAAUUUAGAAGAAUUUUCAAUACAAUAUUGUAAGACACUAAUUGCAAUUGAUAAAUCGAUAGGUUUUUUAGGUAACCUUAAAAUUUUGAGAAUUGUAAAAUGCACCGAAAUCAGAAUUAUUCCACCUCUCAUGUUACCUUCUCUAGAAGAACUCUAUCUUUCAGAGUGUAGUAAUCUUGAGAAUUUUUCACCUGUGAUAGAUGACUUUGGUGAUAAGCUUAAAAUAAUGAGUGUUAGACAUUGCAUCAAGCUAAGGAGUAUUCCACCUCUCAAGUUGGAUUCACUAGAAACACUAAAACUUUCAUUUUGUCAUAGUCUUGAGAGUUUUCCACUUGUGGUGGAAGAGUAUCUUCGAAAACUUAAAACCAUGAUUGUUACAAGCUGUCGCAGUCUCAGAAGUUUUCCACCUCUCAAGUUGGAUUCACUAGAAACACUAAAACUUUCAUUUUGUCAUAGUCUUGAGAGUUUUCCACUUGUGGUGGAAGAGUAUCUUCGAAAACUUAAAACCAUGAUUGUUACAAGCUGUCGCAGUCUCAGGAGUUUUCCGCCUCUCAAGUUGGAUUCACUAGAAACACUAGAACUUUCAAAUUGUCAUAGUCUUGAGAGUUUUCCACUUGUGGCGGACGAGUAUCUUGGAAAACUUAAAACCAUGCUUGUUAAAAAUUGUCACAAUCUCAAGAGUAUUCCACCUCUCAAGUUGGAUUCACUAGAAACACUAGAACUUUCAGAUUGUCAUAGUCUUGAGAGUUUUCCACUUGUGGCGGACGAGUAUCUUGGAAAACUUAAAACCAUGCUUGUUAAAAAUUGUCACAAUCUCAAGAGUAUUCCACCUCUCAAGUUGGAUUCACUAGAAACACUAGAACUUUCAUGUUGUGAUACUCUUGAGAGUUUUCCACUUGUGGUGGACACAUUUCUUGCAAAACUUAAAACCCUGAAUGUUAAAUGUUGUCGCAAUCUCAGAAGUAUUCCACCUCUCAAGUUGGAUUCCCUGGAAACACUAAAACUUUCAGAUUGUCAUUGUCUUGAGAGUUUUCCACUUGUGGUGGACGAGUAUCUUGGAAAACUUAAAACCAUGCUUGUUACAAACUGUCGCAGUCUCAUGAGUAUUACACCUCUCAAGUUGGAUUCACUAGAAACACUAAAACUUUCAUUUUGUCAUAGUCUUGAGAGUUUUCCACUUGUGGUGGAAGAGUAUCUUCGAAAACUUAAAACCAUGAUUGUUACAAGCUGUCGCAGUCUCAGAAGUUUUCCACCUCUCAAGUUGGAUUCACUAGAAACACUAGAACUUUCAGAUUGUCAUAGUCUUGAGAGUUUUCCACUUGUGGUGGACGAGUAUCUUGGAAAACUUAAAACCAUGCUUGUUAAAAAUUGUCACAAUCUCAAAAGUAUUCCACCUCUCAAGUUGGAUUCACUAGAAACACUAGAACUUUCAGGUUGUGAUACUCUUGAGAGUUUUCCACUUGUGGUGGACAUAUUUCUUGCAAAGCUUAAAACCUUGAAAGUUAAGAGUUGUCGCAAUCUCAGAAUUAUACCACCUCUCAAGUUGGAUUCACUAGAAACACUAGAAUUUUCGAAUUGUCAUAGUCUUGAGAGUUUUCCACUUGUGGUGGACGAGUAUCUUGGAAAACUUAAAACCAUGCUUGUUAAAAAUUGUCACAGUCUCAAGAGUAUUCCACCUCUCAAGUUGGAUUCACUAGAAACACUAGAACUUUCAUGUUGUGAUACUCUUGAGAGUUUUCCACUUGUGGUGGACACAUUUCUUGCAAAACUUAAAACCCUGAAUGUUAAAUGUUGUCGCAAUCUCAGAAGUAUUCCACCUCUUAAGUUGGAUUCACUGGAAACACUAGAACUUUCAGAUUGUCAUAGUCUUGAGAGUUUUCCACUUGUGGUGGACGAGUAUCUUGGAAAACUUAAAACCAUGCUUGUUACAAACUGUUUCAGUCUCAGGAGUAUUCCACCUCUCAAGUUGGAUUCACUAGAAACACUUGAUCUUUCAUGUUGUUUUAGUCUUGAGAAUUUUCCACUUGUGGUUGACGGGUUUCUUGGAAAACUUAAAACCAUGCUUGUUAAAAAUUGUCACAAUCUCAGAAGUAUUCCACCUCUUAAGUUGGAUUUGCUACAAGAACUUGACCUUUCAAAUUGUUUUAUGCUCGAGAGUUUUUCAAGUGUGCGGGAUGAGUUGUUGGAUAAACUUAAAUUCGUGAAUAUUGAAUUCUGCAUCAUGCUUAGGAGUAUCCCACAGCUCAGGUUAACUUCUUUGAAAUAUUUCAAUCUUUCAUGUUGUUAUAGUCUUGAGAGUUUUCCAGAAAUAUUGGGAGAGAUGAGAAAUAUACCAGGACUCCUCUUGGAUGACACUCCCAGUAUAGAAUCAUCGUUUCAAUUUCACAAUCUUACUCAGCCUCCAACAUUUCACCCAUGUGACUGUCAGUAUGAUAACCGAUCAGAUGGAAAUCAUCCUAAGCUUACCAUCAUGAAUGAAGAAAAAGUGAAUUCAAUGCAAUCUUCAAAUGUAAAGUAUAUUUGUGUCAGGAAUGCUAAACUUUCAGAUGAAUUAUUGUCAAAAACUCUUAUGUUGUUUGCCAAUGUGAAAGAAUUACACCUAACAAACAAUCAACUCACAAUUAUUCCUAAAUCUAUUGAAAAAUGUCAAUUUUUAUGGAAACUUGUCUUGGAUGAUUGUAAGGAACUUCACGAAAUUAAAGGGAUUCCUCCACGCUUAAGAGUGUUAUCUGCAGUACACUGCAUAUCGUUGACUUCGUCGUGCAAAAGCAAAUUACUAAAUCAGGAAUUACAUGAGGCUAGAAACACCUGCUUUCGUUUGCCACGGGUUCCAAAGAUUCCAAAGUGGUUCGACCACAAAUGCGAGGCAGGAUUGUCAAUUUCUUUCUGGUUUCGUAACAAAUUUCCUGCCAUAGCUCUUUGUGUUGUUUCUCCAUUGACAUUUUGGUUUGGAUAUCAUGGUAUAAGAGUGAGCAUCAACGGCAAUAGUUUUAUCUAUAAAUCUAAUUCAGAGAUAUGUUGGAGACAACGGCCGGAUAUGUAUCAUUUGCAUCUUUUUCAUAUGCAAACGGAGAACUUCAAUGAUAAUAUGGACAAAGCACUUUUAGAAAAUAAGUGGAACCAUGCAGAGAUUUAUUUUGGUGUCUCUGCAUUCAUGUAUAGUGGAGUCCAUGUAUUGAAAGAAAAAAAUAGCAUGGAGGAUAUUCGAUUCACCAACCCAGCGAAUGAUGCUAACAUUGUGUUACACUCGGGAUGUUGAAGUACAUGACCUUUGCUGAUUUGUGAAGUGAUAUGAGUUGUGCACUUAGAUUGUUGCAUCUGCGUAAAAAGUCAACAACUUUUCAAAAAUAUUUGCACCAAGGUUGAAGUUCUUGCGAAGAGAAACUUCUCUUAUGCUCAUCUAGCGCAAAUAAAAUAAAUACUCCUUGCAAGUAUAGAAAUUGAAAAGGUGGUUGUUGUUGAUAAGAAGAGCUUGUGAAUGAAACCAGAUUUGAAGAUAACCUUGGUAUUUGACGUUGUAGAAGAUUACUCCAAACAGUCUGAUGAUUUGGCUCUUAUACGAUAUUUUAAUUACAGGCUGAUUAAUUUCUUUAAUCUGCAUCCUGAGGGGACUGAUAUUCCAGAGGCCACACUAUCAGAGCUCUUUAGCCAAAGACCUUAUAACUUGAUUUUCAAAGAUGGACCUGUAAAUUUGUCAACUGAACUUUCAUCAACUUCCAAUGAAAUCGAACUGUCACUGAACAACUUACAUCUGAGUCCAUCUUUUAAAAGACACUUUUCUCAGAAGAAUGUUGCUAACGAGACUGAGCAAGAAUCUGACUGGCUGGAUAACAAAGAAAGUGAAAGCACAUGGCAGAAAGAAUGUCCACCAUUGUCUGAUUGUUGACACACACUCCUGCACAGUCAGCACUUGAGAGAUUGUUGCUCGGUUCUGAUGUUAAGCUUCAGAAAAUGACUGCCCAAAAGUCUGGGUCGUGUUUUAAGCCUGCAAAAAGAGUGCUUGACUUUACACUCACAGAAGGCAGUGAUGAUUUGGAUAAUAGAGUAUACAUGUCUAUACCUAGCCGAGGAUAUUCCGAGAACUUCAAAUCUUUUUAUUCUGUUUCCCCACCUCUGGAGAGAGGAGCUUUAGAGAUAAUGAACAUAUUGGGUGAGAAACAAGUCGAAGAUUGAGAGUAAAACAUCGAGGAUGGGUAUACAAAAACGGUAGAUGAGAACCUUGGUCAUUCUUUUCAGAAAAUCAAUGUAGAUCAACAUUCUUUUAAUGCAUUGGAUAACAAUCCUUCAUCAUUGGUGGAACUGGUUAAUGUUAUUGACUCUAUAUUUGGCUCUGUCAAAAGAACUUCAAUCACAAAAGAGUAGCUCUUGCAAAAGAUAAUGAUGAACUGUUUAGAUUUUGUUGAGAUUAGAGAAGCUGAAGAACAGAUUGAGAUUUUGCAAAAGAUUGUGCCAGACUGGCCUUGCAAGAAGGUGGUAUCUUCCGGAGACACUAUGUACUGCAUCAAGAAUGCGUCAGAUUUGGACUCAGUUCGAUCAAGACUUCUCAGCCAUGUGACCAAAGAAGACGAGUGUUAAUUGCAUUGUUGCAAAUGAUUGUGUUGUAAUGUUGUGCAUAGCAAGGGAAUUGUUUUGUGUAAGAAAAGUAAACAGAGAGGGGGUGGGGAUUAGAACACCAUACACACAACCAUGUGUGAAAACUUCCUAUCCCUCGUUAUACGGUGGAAGGCUAUUAACUUGUUGGACAGGAGGUUAGUGGUGUUGUACGUAGGUGGUUAUCAAACCCAAUAUUGAAGUUGGUCGAAAACUGAGGGGAAACAUAUCUCUGGUAUGAUAGUUGGAUUGAUGAUGGUUCAUUGGCUUCAAGAUUUAGUUGGCUUUAUCAGUUUAAAUUUUUUGAAAUGCAAUGUGGAGGAGAUGGGGGAGUGGAUUGUGGGGCAGGGGGCCCGGUCAUGGAGGAGGGAGUUAUUUCGGUGAGGGAUGAACCAUCUCUCACUGAGUUAAACAUGGUUGUGAAUCAAAGGUGUUGGGGAUAGAUGGAUAUGGAAGCAUGACAAUGGAGGAACAUAUUCUGCGAGUCAUGCUUAUUCUGUAAUUAUAAAUGACGGCCUUCUGUGUAGAAAUCGUUUCUUUUCAAAAACUUGGAACAAGUUGGUCCCGUUGAAGGUGUAUUGUUUUGUUUGCGAUUAGUGUUGAAUAAAAUGCCGAUGAAGGAAAACCUCGUUGAUCUA